GUACACGAGGUUAAUUGGAGUAUAAAAUUUUUCGUUGCAUACUAGCGAUAACUUACAUUGAUUAAUCAUUAGCUUUAAAGAGGGGAGUUUUCUGGAUCCAAUAGAGCAUUUUUAUUUUAUUUUUUUAAACAGUAGCCCUAAUUUUAUCGGUGUUUUAAUGGUACAGCAAUUCAGAACUGAGGAAGCCAGAAGAACCCCUGGGCUUUUAAAGGUUGUAGGGAAGCAGCUCUCACCUGGCCCUGCUAAGGUUCCAUCUUCUGCAGUCUACACAAAGGAACAGGAGACCUCAUAGAAUCUUUGAGUUGGAAGGGACCUCGGAGGUCAUCUAGGCCAACCCCCUCCUCAGUGCAGGAAUUGGCUACAGCAUUCCUGAUUGGUGGCAGUCCAGGCUCUCUCUGAAAACCUCCAGGAAAGAUAAUGCAUGCAUGUGUUACAUCAUGUGAAAUGUUCUUAUACUGAGUCAAACCACUGCUACAUCUGGCUCAGUAUCGUCUACACCAGGCCUGCUCAACUCAGCCCCCGCCGCUGUUUUUGGACUAAAGGCCUCUCAUGCGUCACUCCUGCCCUAAAAAAAAGAAAAAGCCCUCUCCAUCCGAGGCCAUUUCCUUCCUCUGUUCCAGUCAGCAAUCACUGAAGCAGCAGCGACAUGAACACACCACCACUCACAGCGCCUGAGUCUCAGACUUGGAGUCACCUUCGGCAGGAACAUCGCUCUCGAUCAAAACCACCCACUGGCCGACCUAGUCCCAACCUCAGAUAGGCCUUGGGUGGUCUGGCAAGGCCUUGUUUCUGCGAGCAACCCGGCUAUGGGAAGCCGGUCAGAAUAUAUUUUUCAUUGGGAUGGCCUGAGAGAAAGGCUGAGUUGAUGAGAUUCCCAGAUCAGCUAGAGAAACAGGUGUCGGUAGGACCCAACUUUCUGAGAAAACCAUGCUCAGGAAGUUUCUGGAACCUGUUUGAGGCAUGACAUUUCUCCCACCCAACAGAAGUCCCAGAUUUAGGCACAAGCGAAGUAAGCUACACCUUAGGACCUCACCUUUUAUGAGGGGCCUCUCUGAAUACAAAGAAAGACUGCAGUUCCAAGUUUUACAGAGUGUAUUUUCAUUUAAAGGCUUUUCCAGUGCAAAAAGGCUUAUUGGAAGGUAACUGUGUUUGCUCGAUUAUUUGUUUUUUGUUGAAUCUUUGCCUUUGCCAUGUAAAAACAAAGCU
This is a long non-coding RNA of Hemicordylus capensis (graceful crag lizard), 1206 nucleotides long. RefSeq lists it as uncharacterized. The transcript has 3 exons. NCBI's taxonomy places the organism in Eukaryota, Metazoa, Chordata, Lepidosauria, Squamata, Cordylidae. The record is from RefSeq and is a predicted model, not a curated record.